CCUGCCUCAAGCUGAUGAUCUUGAACUUGCCCUGAAGGAGGUAUCCAUUUUGCCAGUACAGGAGCCACAGAUCAUGCCCUCAGCCCAACUCAACUCACCAAUGCACCAGGAAGGGAAGGCAUAGGAAGGAGUCGACAGCCAUCCAGCAGCUGCAUGCACAUAGAGAUCUUCACCAUAGCCACAACCUUUGGUCCUGUUGGCUUCCUAUCCUUGUGCCACCACCAGCUCAAAGUGAACUCAAAGCAUCUUCAAGUGCAUGUCAGAGAAGGAGAGAAAUCUUACAGGUUGUGUUUUAUGAUCUAUGGUUGAUUUAUAUGUGCAAAAACCAAAAGGCAAUGCAGCAUAGCUCUCACAGCAUUUUUCUUGUGGUAACACUCCACGAUGUAGAGUGAGCUGAAGGAACUCUACGCAAACUGAAGAACAAAAAGUGACCACUACAGAAACAGAAACAAAAGCAAAAAUAUUAUGCAUGCCCUGCUGCUUCCAUUACCUCAGGUUUCCAGGAAUGAGAACAGCUGGAGAAACUGAAUGUUAUGCUUCAUUGAUGGGGGAAAUUCUCUGUACUGCAAUAUUAGUACUCACUGCCUGUUGUGGUCACCAAGCACUGUCAUCAACAAGGUUUCAAGGGGAUGGUAAGGAAGUGGGAUGUACUGAAGCUCUCAUGCUUGAGCAAUACAAGUCCAGAAGGGUAAUGCGGGGAGUAUGUUUAUCAUGUAAACAGUGAACUGUCUGUAAAAGGGGAAGUUUUAUGCAGUGAUGGGGAUGUGGGAAAUGAGAAACCACGAAUUAAUGAGAAACCCUACCGAGGUUAAAGUAAUUUACUGAUUAAUCUUGAUUCCACUUCUUUUGGUCAGAGUGGAAGGAGAGACUCUUAGGCAAAUAAAAAAGACAUAGCAUUGCGUGAUAAAUCUUUU
RNAcentral lists this long non-coding RNA (914 nucleotides) under Anser cygnoides (Swan goose). RNAcentral describes it as "lncRNA (ENSACDG00005012092.1)". Lineage: Eukaryota; Metazoa; Chordata; Aves; Anseriformes; Anatidae. The record is from RNAcentral.